CAGCAGCCGCGGUAAUACAGAGGUCCCAAGCGUUGUUCGGAUUCACUGGGCGUAAAGGGUGCGUAGGUGGUCGGGUAAGUCUGUUGUGAAAUCUCCAAGCUUAACUUGGAAACUGCAGUGGAUACUAUUCGGCUUGAGGAAUGGAGGGGAGACUGGAAUACUUGGUGUAGCAGUGAAAUGCGUAGAUAUCAAGUGGAACACCAGUGGCGAAGGCGAGUCUCUGGACAUUUCCUGACGCUGAGGCACGAAAGCCAGGGGAGCAAACGGGAUUAGAUACCCCGGUAGUCCUGGCCCUAAACGGUGCGCAUUUGCUGUGAGCGGAAUCGACCCCGCUCGUGGCGAAGCUAACGCGUUAAAUGCGCCGCCUGGGAAAUACGGCCGCAAGGUUAAAACUCAAAGGAAUUGACGG
This 409-nucleotide ribosomal RNA is filed under the name uncultured bacterium. Its description in RNAcentral is "bacterial SSU rRNA". It matches the Rfam family "Bacterial small subunit ribosomal RNA", at positions 509 to 916 of the family's 1533-position model. The record is from RNAcentral.